RNAcentral lists this long non-coding RNA (32510 nucleotides) under Capsicum annuum. RNAcentral's name for it is "long non-coding RNA (CANN_LNC001448)". The record is from RNAcentral. Lineage: Eukaryota; Viridiplantae; Streptophyta; Magnoliopsida; Solanales; Solanaceae.
CCACCUUAACCUACGAAGUUUCUUUUCCCCAAUUUACACAAAAAAUGCUCUUUCAAUUCAACUUGAUUUCUGUCGCCACAGUCUUGCAAUUUGCUUGGCUGCAGCACAACGUCUAUGUUCUGAACCAAUUAAAGGCUAUGGCUAUCAGCUACUAACUUUUCUGGUUUUAGUAUCAGAAAUUUCUCAAUCUGGUCAACUUUAUUCCACAUCCCUUUUGUAUUUGUAGGUAUGCACACAGAGAGCCUUAAGAGUUUAAUGUUGGAUUUGAGUUGACACUAUCCUCUGUCAGAUUCUAAGGUUAUUACAUAGGUGGCCAAGUUCAGGCCUCGCAUCCAUCCAUUCACUAAAUAUCAUCUCAGCUGGAGAACUGCUGUAGAGAUAGGAUCUAAAUGUGAUCAGGAAAAAAUAUCGCCUGCAAAAAGAAACAAAUAAAACCGUUAUUAUUAAACAGUUUUAAACCUGUUUUGCAGCAAAGAACCUAAGAUGUAAUGUUAACAGGCCAUUGCUCUGGGAAAAAGGAUUCACCUUUCCCUUCCAAGGAAAAGGCUAACUAUAAAAAGACCAUAUAGCAUAUGAAUGAAGUACGGGCUUCUCAAGGACAAAAUGUUCACUAUAGUGCACUACUCUCAGUCCACAUUAUGUGUUUUCAAUAUUUAUGCUCCAUCAACUUUCUAGAAGAAAAUUUUCCAGACUUUUUUAGUUUUCAAUAUUUUAUAUACAUUUCUGUUGCACAAUCGAAGUUCAGUAAUAUGCAUUUCUGCCGCUCAAUAUAAAUUCCAGUUUAUCUUAAUCAAGCGUUCAAAAGAGGACCUCGAAGAUGGUGUAAGAGCAGUAUGUUUGUUCCUUGAAAACUGAGCAUAUUCUGUUCUCUGCUUCUACCUUCCAUUUUUAUCAACAAAUUCUUCAUUUAAAAAAGAGAUGGAUGAAAAUUAACCUUAAAGCUCUAAUGCCCAUAUCCAUGACAUAUGCUCGACGUUCUUCAUCUUCAUCUAAUUUCCUUUCCAGCUCCUGUGAAUAUUGAACAAUAUCUUCUCCCAAAUGACCUGCACCGGCACACCUUUGAAAAAUUGAAAGAAACUGUCAGAGAAAAUAUUCAGAAAAGCAGUGGCUUGCAAUUCAGUUGAUUUAACCCUUCAAGGUCAAACUAGUUAGAUCAAUUCCUACACCUACACCAUAUCAAAGUAGAAGCAUGACCUGAGUCUACUGAUAAGUGGCAAAAUUCUGUUUUUCUGUAAGUUUCGAACUUAAAAAGCUGGUCAACAAUGAUUUCCCCACUUCCUGCUGUACAAAAAAACAUAUUCUCUCUAAUGACUUUAUUAAUAAUGAGAAAAUCUCCUGUGCACAGGUAGAUACUAAAAAGUAUAUAAUUUACAACACUCCUCUAUUUCAAUUAGUUUGUCUUACUUUCUAUUUUAGCCCAUUCAAAAAAAGAAUACCUUUUUCUAAACUUGCCAACUCUCUAAUUGCAAUAUUCCACAUAGACAUGUUUAUGACUACCAGAUUAAAGGACAUUUGGGUACAGUAUACACCUUUAGUUAACAGCCAUAAGACUGAGAAGUCUUCUUUACUUUCUUAAACUGUGUCCAGUCAAACUGAAACGGAGAGAAUAUGAUUCUUCCCAAACAACACCCAAUUUUCGAUACAACUAGAUUCUGUAACUUCAAUGGCGCACCAAGAAUAAAUUAGAAAUGAGAGACUAUUGCUCAAACUCAAGUACUCAUUUUCUAUCCCAUGGAACGCUCCCCUAUUUCUUUACUUCCACAGGAGUCAGGACCCAAAUGAGUUCUAGUCGAGCAACAUUCCUGUCUCUCUGACUGCUUUCUGAAUUUUCAGAUGGAGAGUACCUCCUUCACUAUGUCCAACAUUGCCCUUCACAGCCGGGGACAUCUCAAAUCUCACACCUCAAUCGAGUUGCCACCAGACAAUAUAAUAGGAGGUGGUUCACACCUUCCCCUUAACAAUUACAUAUGAAGCACCGACAUAUGUAAUCCGCCUCUUUCUCAAAUUUUCACUCGCUGCCAAAAAAAAGGCAAAUAGGAGAACUUUUUUGAGUGUUGAGGAUUCCAUACAAAUGAAGGAAAACCUAAUUCCUCCCCUCAAUAAAAGCUUAUGAGAACUAGCUCUUCUCUCUCUUACUUUCUAGGACUUUAUUGAUACUUUCCAUACUCUCCUCAAUUUUCUCAAUCAUCAAGGGCUCCAUGAUACUUGGUCCUUAUUGGAAGCAUCAACGGUAAGCCCAGAUAGGUACUCAAAAGAGCUUCAACCCUGCCAGAGCACAUGAUGCAUGUGUCACAAAAAACUAAAGUCUCAUAUGCUUUCUAGAAGUCUUUUAGCCGUAUUAGGAAAUAUAAAUAACUUCUAGCACUCCUCAUUUUCAUUUUUAUUUCAUAUAGUAUUGGUCUAAGAUAACUUACAUGGGAAGCAUGGUCAAUCCGGUAUAUAUAGCCGACCCCUCCUUGUUUGGGACUGAGUGCAAACAAGAGAUGUGAUACCCUUACUGCGCAUUGCCCCCCGAUCGCUGCAAAGAAGCCCUCAAGUACCACGUGCUACAAAUCUAUCCAUCAUUCUCCCCAAGAACUUCCAUUACCAGGAUGAAUAGCAUGGGAGAUAAUGAGUCCUCUGCUAGAUGCCUCGACCUUCCAAGUAAACCAGAUGGGUUACCAUUCACUAGGAUCAAAAUCCGACCUUUCAUAUGAAAAACAUGAUCCACUUCCUCCACCUACUCGCCCCAUCUUCAACAUUAUAAAGUACAUGAACUCUCUAUUCACAUGAUCAUAUGCCUCCUUAAUGUCUAGUUUGCAUGAAAUCCUCGUGUCUUCUUUCCGAAUUAGCCACUUCAAUUACCACCAAAGUUGUGUCUAGGAUUUUUCUUCCUUCCACAAAUGCAUUCUGAGAGAUAGACAUUGUCUUCUCCAACUCCUUUUUGAGUUAAGUAGAAAGCAUCUUAGCGAUUAACUUGUAGAUGCUUCUCACUAGACUAUAGGUCUGUAGUCUCUACAGUCUGUUGGCUCCCUCUUUUUUUGAUCUGAUGACCAUUAAUAGUGCACUGAGGCUUCUUUCAAAUUCCCCCCUCUUGAAAUGCAAUGUGGUCAAGUCUUGAAACAACCUUGUGGUAUGGAAGCAGAGUCUCUUUCACCAGGGGCAGCUCAGGCAGAAUGGUCACCCGUGUAUUACAAAUGGAUUCCUUUCAGGUUCCACAAUCUUCAUUCCCAGUACUUCUGCUGCCUUCUAUGUACCAAGUGAACUCACAAUUAUUAUCUCAAGAAGCCCCAAAUUCUCAGUGCAAAUUAUAGAAAUUCCUCAUGCGAAGAAAUCGCUCCUCCUUUAACCGUACUACAACACUAUCUGAAGAAAGCCAAGGCAAAUCUUUUUGUCUUUAUUUUCCAAGGAAUAAUUUAAUCAAUAAUAGGUAAAGCUCCCAUCUACAAGAAGUAUACCAAAAAGUAAACAAAGAAAUAAAUGGUUCUCUACAGAAGACACCCGUCCUUGAAUAAGAACCUCAUGAGACACCAAGAAAAUAUUAAAGAUAAAGAGGCUAUUCUUCAAAUGUACAAAAUCAAGCUCACUUCCUUCAAGAGCUCUUCUAUUUCUCUCUCCAUACUACCCACAUCAAAGCCAAUGAAGAAAUAAAUCAUGCCCUAUAUCUUUUACUGUGUCAUCUAAAAGCCCAACUGAAUAUAAUAUCCUUCACCGUACCCGGUAUAGUCCAAAAUCAAACCAUCUCAGAAUCUUUGACCAAAGUUGUGACGCUAUCUGACAAUGCAAUAGAAGGCAGUCCACAUCCUUUCCUGUAUUUUGCACAUGAGGCACCAACAUAAGUGCCUCUAACCAUGCAAAAAAAAAUACAUCUUUCUCGCGCUUUUGGGGAUCCGAACGGACAGGUUUGGGAAGACAUGUACAUCUUUAUAGAGCAGCUUACCACAGUAAGAUGACUUUACCGAUAAACGAGCACCCUUCCCUAAGCCUUAUUACCUAACAACUUGUCACUGCCUCCUCUCUGUGUCUCCCCCUUACCUUGGACUAAUUAGUUUUACCCAAUUCCCCUAAUAUAUACAGAUCUUAAUAAGCAUUAAGGAUAUAUUUGACUCACUAAUUGUCUUCACCCAAUAAAGUCAAUAAAGUUCAGUGACUAGUUCCCUUUACUGUUGAAUAGAGAAUCCCCUAACUGAAUCUAAAUAAUCCUUACAAAAUUUAUGGUAUGAGAAGUUUAUGGAAUCUGUCCUCAACCAAUCUCCUGUGUAGUACUUCAGGAAGCUGAACUGCUAAAGGAAGCGAGAAGGAAACCCAUGCAAUUAUGGAUUAAGUAGAGGAUGUGUACCUUUCUAUUACAGCAUCAACAUGAGUCUUGCUCUCGGGGCCGUGCACAAGAACCCUAGUGAGGCUUAAUAUGUCCCGAUAGUCACCCAUUCUCCCAGCUUCGUCAUCAGAAAUUUGAACAUCGAAAUUCUCUACAGAUGAACAAGGAAGACCAGUACUUCCAAAUGGUCGCUGAAUAUCUAAUGACAACUUAGCCUCAGCUUCAAGCCUUAAACAAAUAAUAGCCAUUGCAUAAGCAAUCCCUCCAAAUCCUGUGUGUGAUACAAAAAGGUAAGCUCCUGCAGAGCUGUUUAGAGAAAAGAAAAAGAACAAUUAGUUUAAUUUUCCUUCUAAUGAGAACAUAGAAAAGGAAAUUACUGAUUAAUAACUCAAAUAAAUUCUUCAUCCAACAUGGGUAAAAAGUCAUUAGUAGAAAGACAUUUUUUGCCCUUUGGCAAUCAAAAUCACACUGCACCUGACACAGAACAGAAUUUUUCUCUGGAUUCAGAGAGACAACAACAAAAGAAGAAGUAUGUUAUAACACUACUCUUAUCAAAGAAUGAACGGUUAAAUCUUUUCAAACACCAAAUCAAGCCAGACAACUUCAGGAAUAGUAGCUUUUGCGCCACUAACUAGUAUAAAUUGGCAAUGACAAGUUAAUGAUAGUUCUAUCAAGAUUCCUAAACUCACAACAAACAAGCAACAACAUAACCAGCGUAGGGGAAGCGUAGGGGAAGGUAGGAUGUACGAAGACCUUACCUCUCCCUAUUGCGGGGUAGAGAGGCUGUUUCAGAUCAAGAUUCCUGAACUCACGAUUACAAAAAAAAAGUACAGCGAGGCAUAUCCUAUUAUUUCCAAUUGGACAUUCACAGAGAUAUAUUAGAGUUGCCGAGCCAUUACACAAACAUGAUUUUACUUCUAGAUGUAGAGCGAUCUGUCAAUGUCAUCCUUGUUAGAAUAUGAGUAGAAAUAGAAAUAGUAUACAAAAUCCCACUUUGAAAAGGAUUAUAUUGUAGUGUCUAUAAACAUGGUGUCAAUGUAAUUAUGUAGACAACAAUUCAAUAAUAUUUAUUCUCACAUGGUAUCAGAACCAGAACCAGGCCCACCCAGUUCAUUGUUUCCAAUGUUGGGCCCCCCCGUCUUAUAUUGUCCACGCUCCAAAUGUCCAGCCCUGGACGUGCGGGGGGUGUUGGAGUCCCACAUCGGUGGGUUAAAGGGUCCAUGGUCUCCUUAUAUGGACUUGGACAAUCCUCCCCUCAUGAGCUAGCUUUUGAGGUUGAGUUAGGCCCAAGAUCCAUUCUUUACCAUGGUGAUGGCUGCAGAAGGACUAGGCACUAUCCAACUUUCAUAUACAAUCAACGAAUUAUGCCUCAGUUCAAAUAUGCCAACUUUUCCCUCACAAAAACGGCUAGUGACAUUUAAAUGUUCUUUAAAUUAUGUGCUGCCACUUACUCGUCUUUACAGUAUUGGAUAGCAUCAAUAUCAGAAGACAGGGCUUCUUUUUCUCUAGUCAACGGUAUCCUCCUAUAGGUUAUGUCAUACCCUUCACAUUUCAGGCUUGCAUAUACCUCAGCAGGAGUCUUAACAUCAUCUACGAAUAUGUUCUCCCAAUAUCCAAUGAUACUAACUUGAUUUGAAGUCGGGUUAUACUCUUCACGAUGCAAAAGCAUCCUACCACCAGAUUGUCUAAUCUCACAUUGAAUGUCAUCUUUUAACCGUGCCUCCAAGUGUUCCACCUGUGGGGAAAAUGAACUUAAAUAGAUAUAAAAUCAUCAUAUAACCAUGUUUGAAGGGGUAAUUUGAUUAAAGACUGACCAAUGGACCAGUGAUUCCGACAUGCUUCAAGGAUUCAACAGGCUUGUUCAAUUCUCUAAGAACAAAAGGUGUUCCAUUAAUAUAAACAACAGCCUCUUCUCUCAGAUCAGUCAAAAUUACUCUUUUAGCAAUUUUUUCUUUUGACGUCUGCUUUGCACCAAGGUAAGAUAACAUUUCCUUUGCACCAGCAAUUGUAGGAGUUGCCAUGCUAUAAAUGGGGUAUCCAUCAACCUAAGUAUGAGAAAUUCAGUAAGAAUUUUAAGCUUUAGCCAUGAAAAAAAACUCAAAAUUCACAAAUUUGAAAAACUGUGCAUAUUCACUACAAAUUUUAUGUCCUUAGCCUCUAUCUUACACUGUAUUCUAUUCUUACAUUACAAGGUCAAAUAAAUGCAUUGCAGUUGCAUGACAUUUAAAAAUGUUAAAAACUCUACCCUAUACAAUUAGGUAAAAGUUGAAUAUUUGGUUUAUUUAUUCUGUGCCCUGAAUUCUGCCUGAUUAGAAGGACAGAGUCCACGCCGUGACAAUUUGGAUUAUGGAGAUAUUUGUUGAGAUCUAUAAUGGUAGCCGAGGGAUAAACCAACCCCCUACUGCAAUUCGGAUUAUGGAGAUUUUGUUGAGAUCAAUAAUGGUAGCUGAGGGAUAAACCAAUCCCCUAUGAACCGCUGAUUGAAUAGGGGUAGAAUACUUUGGAUUUCUUUGUUUGUCCCAUUCUUUAUACAUUGCUUUGGUAAGGUUUGACAAACAAUAUUUUUGUACUUCCAUUGUUGUUAAUAGUAUAUUCUGUAAUCUUCUUAAGCAUAGCAAUUUUCUGCUUACUUGAUCUUGCUGUGCCAUUGUUUUCAUUUCUGGCUUUACAUUUAGAUCUCUAAUAGUAGCAGAGGGAUAAACCAGCCCCAUACUGCAUUGCUGAUUGGGGUACAAUACUUUGGACUUCUUUGUUUGACCCGAUUUUCUACAUAGCUGCCUCCCUUCUUUCAGCUUAGGGUUUACUUACUGUUUAUUGCUUUCAUUUCCUAACAUUCUAUGAUGCCGGUUGGAAAAAAUAACAAUCUUCUAUAACAAAACCAGGCAUAAUCAUGAAUCAUCUCCUCUUUUUUUUUUCUUUUUUUGUUUCUUGUGUGUUAUUUUGUGGGUAUAUUCUUCUCUUCAAUUUACUGUGUGUAAUUGCAUUUCAUCAGAGUAUUCUUACUCAAAUUUUUGCAUUUGAUCCUAAUUUAAAGUCUAUUUAUGUAUUGAUCUCUCCUAAUAUAGGCAACAAAAAAAUAUGCUUAGUUAAACUUCGUAGUAACACAUUUACAGAUGUAAUAUAACACUAUAUAUAUAACUGCAUGCUAUUUUAUUUUUAUUUUUUUAAAAUGGAAGAAAAUAUUUAGCAUACACCAAAUAUACUGUAUGCUAAAUUUCACUCAAAGUAUUAUUACUCUAUCAAGUUGAAAAUAGUUCUUUGCCAUAUGAUGUUUAUGUCGCUACUUGGUUUCAAAUCUAUGUGAUGAAAAUUGUGUGCAUGGUGCAUGUUUUUUUUUUUUUUUUUUUUGUGGGUGGGGGGUUUGGGGGGGGGAAAGUGNNNNNNNNNNNNNNNNNNNNNNNNNNNNNNNNNNNNNNNNNNNNNNNNNNNNNNNNNNNNNNNNNNNNNNNNNNNNNNNNNNNNNNNNNNNNNNNNNNNNNNNNNNNNNNNNNNNNNNNNNNNNNNNNNNNNNNNNNNNNNNNNNNNNNNNNNNNNNNNNNNNNNNNNNNNNNNNNNNNNNNNNNNNNNNNNNNNNNNNNNNNNNNNNNNNNNNNNNNNNNNNNNNNNNNNNNNNNNNNNNNNNNNNNNNNNNNNNNNNNNNNNNNNNNNNNNNNNNNNNNNNNNNNNNNNNNNNNNNNNNNNNNNNNNNNNNNNNNNNNNNNNNNNNNNNNNNNNNNNNNNNNNNNNNNNNNNNNNNNNNNNNNNNNNNNNNNNNNNNNNNNNNNNNNNNNNNNNNNNNNNNNNNNNNNNNNNNNNNNNNNNNNNNNNNNNNNNNNNNNNNNNNNNNNNNNNNNNNNNNNNNNNNNNNNNNNNNNNNNNNNNNNNNNNNNNNNNNNNNNNNNNNNNNNNNNNNNNNNNNNNNNNNNNNNNNNNNNNNNNNNNNNNNNNNNNNNNNNNNNNNNNNNNNNNNNNNNNNNNNNNNNNNNNNNNNNNNNNNNNNNNNNNNNNNNNNNNNNNNNNNNNNNNNNNNNNNNNNNNNNNNNNNNNNNNNNNNNNNNNNNNNNNNNNNNNNNNNNNNNNNNNNNNNNNNNNNNNNNNNNNNNNNNNNNNNNNNNNNNNNNNNNNNNNNNNNNNNNNNNNNNNNNNNNNNNNNNNNNNNNNNNNNNNNNNNNNNNNNNNNNNNNNNNNNNNNCCAUUAUCAAACAAUCUUGUUAUUUUCCAGAGCAACAGGAUGUCAUUUAUCCCAAAUGCAUCAUUCGUAUGUGUUUGAGGUCUACUUUUCAGUACUAACGAUGCAGGUGGAUUGAGUUGGCCUUCACUUUCAUCAUCACUUGACAUACCACCACCUAAAUCUGGAUUUGAUGCAUCAUGCAAUACUCUAAUGGGUCUCCCAUGAUCAAUACGCAAUUUCAAAAGGCAUGCAGUUACAGUUCCAGUAGUAGUCCUCCCUAUACCCAUCUGUAAUCGCAGAAAUAAGUAACAUCAACAUAUCUGUUUGGAGCCAAAUGUCUUCGAAUCGGAAGAAGAAGAUAAUGUAUACUAGGUUACCUGGCAAUUAAAGACAAAAGCAGUAUCUUUGGAAGCAGAAGCUAUGUUAGAAGACAAAACAUCAAAGUCAGAACUUUUUGGAGCUUUGCCAUCAGUGAUAGGAACACGAGCAUACUUUAUAGGAAAACCAUCAGCCUCCAAGCACUUAAAGACCUCCACAGGAGUUUGAACUGCAUCAGAGCUCACAUGUUCCCAAGCAUCGAAUAUUUGACCGUCAUCAGUUUCAUGAAUAACCAUUAUAGCUCCGUGAUAACGGUCAGCUUCUCGCAUAAUGUCAUCCUUUAAUCUAGCUUCCAUUUUUUCGACUCUUUCACGAUCGAUCCCCUAUAUUCAGAUAGUUGUACUUAGCCAGUUUAUCAUCAUGAAUUGAAAUCACAAGCCGUAGAGGAGUCAAGAUCCCACAGCAAAUUCACUUAAAAGAAGAAAAUAUCUGGUAAUUUCAGCAAACUUCAUAAUACAAAAAGCCCUUGCAUUAGAAAUGAAAAUAUUGUAUAGUGACGAAAACAGAAUAAGGCUUUUAAGAUAGAGAACACGAACUUUAACAACUUCUGAGUGAAAGAUAAAAUAGCUACAGAAACACAAGCACAAUUCAAAAUAGAACUACCUGCAUCAUUUGAAACCUAUCAAAAUUAGUUCGAAAUGAAUUCCAGUUUAUGCAAUCUGAUUGUUCGGUACAAAGGAAGUACCUAUUAGAUCCGAUUGUCUUUGAUAACAGCUAAAGGUUCAAAAAGGGGACUUAAAACGAUAUUUGCACUAUGUUCUACUCCCUCCAUGUCAAUUUAAGUAUCUAAAUUUGACUUGGCACAGAGUUAAAUUAAAUAAGGGAGACUUUUCAAUCUUGUGGUAUUAAACUGAACAUGUGCACAAUGUACCAAAAUUCCCUUUGAAUCUUGUGGUCUUAAACAUGUCAAGCACGAUGUUGGAAUAAAAGAGUUACUACAUAUAGAAAGUAUUAAUGUUUUUUAAACAGACUAAUAAAAAACGAAAGUAAGACAAAUAGAUUGAAACAGGGAGUGUAUUGAGAUCUCAUUGGAAUUAAUAUCAAUAAGAAUAUUUUCUAAAAUUAAUAACAUGUGACACAAGAAAUUGCAAGAAUUUUUAAAGUACCAAGAUAAAAAGCUAUAAUCAAACAGAAGUUUCAUGAUCUACUUUUCCUGAUUUUGAUGUGAAAAGAGAAAGAAAAAGAAGGAAAGAAAGAAGAAGCUGCAUUCUUCCAAAUAGAGAAAGCCAAAAGGUAGUGGAAUGGCUUCUGGCAGCACAAUAGAAAUCUAAAAAUUUGGCACAAAGCUUCAAAAGAUGCACCACCAGCAAUUUAUAAAUGGAUUCAAGCAAGAGUUUUAGAAACGAGGACCGAGUACCAAGAUCCGAGACAAGUAUGGAUCUGAUACAGGUCCAUUCAGUUUUUGACUGUUUCUAACAUGCCGUUUUUAAAGGAUCCAUAUAAUGGUUCCAUAUCAUGUUGCACCCGUUUAAAGGAUCCAUAUAAUGAUGCCAUACAAUGUCACACACAUUUGGCAAUGGUACAUCAAUGCAAAAUGAAGGGUCUAUGCAUCGUCAGCAGUAACAAGGUCGACAGAAGUUACUUAUCAAAAAUUUGCAUGAAAUUGCAUUCAUACCGUGUAUUCAAGCAUAUUUUUAUAGGGCCUUUCAACCUCACGGAGUACAAAUGGUUUUCCGUUGAUGUAGAUAACAGGUUCUUCUCUCAUAUUGUGCCAGAAAACUGGACGUCCACCUUUGGAGCUACCAAUCCUUUGAAUAACAGAUCGAAUACCACUGACAGUUGGAUUUGCAACACCAUAUACAGGAAAUCCUGGAAUUUCUCUAAAGUUGGGAGCACCUUCUAAUAUUUCUGGCAAGCCAGGAUGUUGACAGCCAGGACAGUGGUCACUCUUAAGAACAGUUUGAGGUCCGAGAACUUCUCCGUUCCUCAAAGCAGCUACUUGCCCCAUCUCAGAAGGGCGAUUAUCAGCACUGUCAACUAAUUUAGCACGAGACGGUUCCAGGCUCGCAUAACCGAGUGCUCCCAUUGGGUCUCUCCUUAGCAAUCUGCAGCCAACUCCAGCAUAUAAGUCUUCCAAUAUUGCAGGAUUCCUUUGGGCUUUUACAGUUAUUUUUUUUAAAAGCAUCCCUUUGGAGCACAUACAAGUGCUUUCAAAGCUCUAUAAACACUAGUCCAAUGUCAAGAAUCAUAAACUAGUGUAUGUAGUAAUAGCUUUUUCAAUACAAACCAUCAUCCACACAAAUGAGAUGUCAUAAGAUAGCCUUCAUUACAUUAGAAAAAUUUAAGCAAAUCAGAACACCAGCCACACAUGGAAAGUAACUAGAUCAAUGUAUCGCAUAGUAGAGACGACUGACUUAAUAAAAUUGAGAGGCUUCUCAAAGUUCAGAUUCACAAGUUUGAAGAGAUGUUUCUACCUUCUUUCUCCAAACAUCAAUCCCCGAGCCAAAUAACUUAAGGGAACUAAUACAGGACAAAUUGAAACAAAUUUAGUGAGUGCGUAGAUUUUCUUGGGAAAUAUUACAGUAAGUUUUCUCCAUAAAAUAUAGAUGCAUUAAAAUACUUAAAUAUUUAAGGAGCAAGUAAAUUGCAUGGCUGCUAGGGUGAUCAGCUGCAAUUCAACAACUGAACACCAGUUUAGUAUAUGGAGAUUAAGAUGUCAAUUUCAGUCAAAUUAUGUUCGCACAGAGGCAUCUCUUUAAUUUCUCACAUAAAUAUAAGACAAAUCAAAUUACGCAACCUUAUGAAAGUUAUUCAGGCCAAACAAUAAUAUACACAUGAAUCAGUGACAAAAUACUGACAUGAAAAAUGAAGUAAGAUAACUACCUGAAAGAGCCAGUUGCAGCAGUAUUUAUGUGCCAAAAAAGAUGAAAGUGUAAAAGCAAUGAUAAGAAUAACUACGACAAAAGUGGCAGCAUAAAAUCAUGUAAGGAAAGCACUUUAAACACAAUAGCAGAAUAUUUUAUCCUUACCGGCGGAUUAUACUAUACAACUCUGGUCUUGCUUUCAUCCAAUCACUAAAGCUACAAUGAGCAGAGGACCCUGCAAAAAGUGCAUCUCGUUGUGUAUGGAGAUAUACAGCAAAACAUAUGAGGAAGUAAUAUCUUUCGAGGUACUCCACAAAAAACGAAAGUGCUGCCUCUUUCUUCAUUUCAUCAGGUUGGCGCAAAAUGCUAUUGCGAUAGAUGGCAAUAGCCUCACGUAAGUUCUGCACAUAGAUCCACAUAUUAAAUUCAAACGGAAACUUUGCAUCAUAAUUUUUUCUUCUCAGAUCCACACAAAAAGGAACUGCAAAAUUUCAAGCAUCCUCAAAUGAGAUGAAAUGAAAGGGAUCGCAGAAACAUUCUUCAUGGAUUGUUCUCAUCACAAGAAGCAGUCAUGCCAACAAUAAGACAGCAUAGCAGAUUGUGUAGAGAAAAUAACCAAAGGCAAAACGUAGUAGAAGGGAAACAUGUUCUUGCACAUAAUACACCCCUACCUGCAUAGAGGAACAUUUGUCUAUGACCUUAUCCACUUGCCUUUUGCCUUCGACACCGCCCUUUGAAGCACAAAUCCAGUCAUUAUUAAAUCAACAAAAUGCCAAAUCUGCUAAAAUUAUUGAAAUAGAAAUUUUUAUUUUGAUACCUCUAAUACCCGAAUCAAGCUUCUAAUCACAGUAUAUUCCCCUCUACGUAUUGCCUCCUCUGAGUUUGCUAAUGUGUCAUUCAGAUUGGAGAGGCAGUCAGAAACUCUACCAAUGGAAUUGCUUCUCGGAAUCCCUGUUAGAUGAAAGCACCUCAAUAAUGUUUCCAGCAAAUAUUUAAACAUAGAUCAAGUCCCGGCAAUCUACCUUCACAUUUUUUUUUGGGGGGGGUGGAUAAAGUAAUAAGACUUUAUAAACGAAGGGCAAAAAAUUGCCAGUAUACCAGUAUACACAAAAAACUAAAAAACUUUACUAGAAGAUAUGGCGUUCUACAAACGAAAGUACAUCACCUAAUCAUCUAUACAUACAAAUAAGGAACCUCGUGGGUAAACAAAGAAAACAAGGAGAAGAGGCUAUUCUUCAAGUGUACAAGGCCAUUCCGUCUUCUAAGGUUCCAACUAAACAUCACUUGUUUUCCGGUACCUGGCAUCAUCCACUGUACCUGACACCACUUCUUCAUUCGAGCUUUUACACAUAAAAUACCGACAUAUGUAAUCUUCCUCUUCCUCAAAUUCUCAAUCGUCAAGAUCAUCCCCCUCCCCAAGAUAGUCAAAUGAAAAAAACACAUCUCUCUCGAAACCCUUGAGAUCCAUACCGAUAGAUAUAGAAAAAGAACACCAUCACCAAAAGUUUCUCAUAGUAAGAGUAAGCAGAAAAUGUGCCACUAUUCCCCGGACUCCAACUCCAUAUAUCGUGCAUUUCUUGUGUUCGUGGAGAAAUUCACUAAAAUUUGAAAUUCUGCAACUCCCUCGUUUUGCAAGUUUCUCCUCAACACCAAAUCACAGUGAACUUUCACUGUGUAACCUUUGUACAUGUUGGACUAGCAUCUUCUUUUGGAUUAAAAUCUAGCUUAAGUUUCAAAAUGAAAUUCUCAAAGCAUCAUUCCCACACCAUUUGUGACACCAAAAAAUUACUCUAUUUCCAUCCCCCUCCUCGAAUGAUACAUUCUCAUUAAACUCUGCCCAACCCUUCAAUAAAUUCAUCUAUAUAUAAAUUCGAUAUAAAAGGGUGACCGUCUUACUCUUCCAUCCCCCUUCCAAAACCACAUGUUUCUCCAUGGUCAUCUCCCUGCAAAGAGCAAACCCCAAAUCUCCAUAACCACUUUCCUAAUAAAUUCCAUAUCAAUACUUUACUAUUAUAAUGAUCUCCUGACUUACCAAAUCAUAGAGUUUCCCUCGGCGUUUUUUCCACAAGAUCGACAAGGCUCAACAUUACACAUGCCUUUUCAUCCUCUGCCUGCCAUUUUCCUUUUUCUAGACAUUUUGCCAAGUAGCAGAAUGGGUUGGACAGCAAACAGAACAUACAAAGAUCUAUGAUUUCUCAUUGUCCAAUUAAGCCAUUCUACUAAGUGUGAAUCAACUACUAGCAGAAAUGAGGGACUUAAUAUUAAAUCUAGUUCUUGCAUAAAAUGUCCUGCUAACAUAGGAGCACUCAUACUAAAAAAAUGGAAAAGCAAAUUUCUUUUUUGUUCGAUGAGACAAUGCCUCACGUGGCCUCUACUACACAUCUUUCGUUCGCCCUAGACCCACCCAUCAAAUGGAACUCUGCCCUUUUGUUGGUUAACUCGAUUAUGAAGUCUGGAGGAUCUGUCAUAUACCCCACCCCUUACCCAUUCAAGGGCCACAUGAGCUUUAUACCUAAAAUCGGUAUCUUCUCGCAUCAAACCUUCCCUGUAUGAGUGUAUGAGUGAUUUUGCUGCCAAAUUGAUUGUAUUUUGUGGAAUAAUUACCGGACAAAAAUUAUCUUUAAUUACAAGAUAUCAUGUUCAAUGCUGUCACAGUUAAGGAAAGCAUGCGACUAGAGCCUGCUUAUGUUUUUUUCUUUUUAUGAAAUCAAAUUUUUAUAUGAUGGAAAAAAUCUUUGCAUGCAAUCUGUUAAAAGUCAAGAGAAUUAAUGCAAUUAAUUACAAGCUAAAGUAGUCUGGAUUCAUUCUCUAUGUUUACGUUAGUAGUAUGGAAUGUGGUUUCUCAUUCAGUCACAACUGUGAAUUUCAAAAUUCUACUCAUUACUAACUCUUCUUGAUUCAAGAAGUAUAUAAGAAGCAUAUUGUAUGUUUUUCUUAACCAGUUCAAGCAAGUUCUAUUAUGUUAUCAUCUCUUUUGUAUGAUAUAAAAGUCUCCACAUUUUGAUAGACAUUAAAUAGCUUUUACUUACCCACGAGGCUCGCCAUCAAUCUGGCCAAGGCUCAUUCUUCUCAAAAUACUCGUCUUUUCAUAUGAUUGCUUCAACAGCACUGAACUUACUCUCAGUGACCCUUCAAUGGCUUUGUGUCGCUUUUCUCUGGAGGCAUCAUCUACACUAUUUUCUAAGUGUGAAUCAACUACUAGCAGAAAUGAGGGACUUAAUAUUAAAUCUAGUUCUUGCAUAAAAUGUCCUGCUGACAUAGGAGCACUCAUACUAAAAAAAUGGAAAAGCAAAUUUCUUUUUUGUUCGAUGAGACAAUGCCUCACGUGGCCUCUACUACACAUCUUUCGUUCGCCCUAGACCCACCCAUCAAAUGGAACUCUGCCCUUUUGUUGGUUAACUCGAUUAUGAAGUCUGGAGGAUCUGUCAUAUACCCCACCCCUUACCCAUUCAAGAAUAAAAAAGGUCCUUCCAACUAAAAAGGUUUAAUAAAACAGAAUCUAAGAACAACGAGCAAGGGAGUAUUGGAGUAUCUGGACAUAAAGGAAGAGAAGAUGUUCUGACGGAGCAUCAACUCCAAUUCACAUUGUAAAUGCUAGAUAUAUUUUAACCAAUUCGGUUGGCACAUGCUCGUUUUUCUAUUGGUAAAAGUAUGGGAUUCUUUCGUUUAUGUCCCUCCAACCUAACUUAAUUACCGGUGCUAACCAAAGUAUACAAAACCUUUAGAGUGAUUAUGUAUGUAUAGUAUAUGUAUAUUUAUACUUAAAUAUAUAGAACCUAUACAGUUGUUGGUUAUUUGGUAAACUAGAUCACCCAAAACAUUGGCUUGUAAGUAUCCCUAAAAUUAUGGUAUUAAAGAGCAGCAAACUGCUGCAAAGUAUUCACAUUGGAAAGCCUCAUUACAUGUUGUGUAAUGAGCUCAAGUCUAUAAUGGACUCUACAUCAUUUGCGAUUUCCAUCUUACACCAAAAAAACAAGAAGGAAUGCAUCUGCCCUUAAUGCUGAUAACAGAUUCCUUUUUUUCUCUCAAUAAUUCUUGUAUUCCUUCUUUCCAGAUGAUCCGCCAGAUGGAAACAGGCAUUUUAUUCCAGAUCUUUUACUUUUCCUUGCCCAACCCUUUCAAGUACCAACAUUUUAGGAGCUCAGUAGUUGUCCUAGGCAUUGCCCAGCUAACCCUCAUAAUAUUCAGAAUGCCAGACGUGUGUGCUGAAAGUGGUCAAAGUGCAGUGAAUGAAAAGAUGGCAUAAUCUCUUCCCCGUAAACUGCCAAGAUAGCCCAAUAGAUUCUGUUAACUCCCCAAAUAUUUAGUUUAUCUCUCUAUGUGGGAGCUGAUCUAUAUUUUCUAGCGCUAUGUAUUUUUGAUUUUCUGCAUCCACUGGAUGCCAUUAAUGAAAUUACUUAUUGCAUUAGAACGAAAAAAAACUGAAGGCAGGAAUAUUUCUAAAUUGGAAAUUGAAGGGAAAUGCCAGGUCUGACGUCAUAGAAAAUAAGAAUUACCAGAAGCCCCUAUUCGAUUAAGGUACACCAAUGUUGCAAUCACCAUUCCUGUGGUUGUCCGCCCACGUCCCAUUUGGCAAUUAAAAAUAAUCUGUGUGUUCACAUCAGCUUGAGAAACUCUAAGAACCUACGAUCAAAAGGAGCCAGAAAAACAAAAGGAAUAAGACAAAAACAAAUGUUCAAAUCAAACAUGGAAAUGAUUUAGAAGAGUGUCUCCAUAUUAAGACAGAAAUAUUUAUAAAAACAAAAGCACAAUUUUAAGAGCUUAAAUGUGGUCAUAAAAACAUGUCUGACAUCCAUUUUUAGACUACUUGAUUAAAAAGCAAAAAAAGUUAAACAACCAUAUCAUGUCAAUAUGCACAAAAGAAGUCUAACUAAUGAGUCACGAGAGUAGCAAGACUAUAACAGAAACGUAAAGUCUUAAUUUUAAAGGUAAACGAAAACCAGCUAGCUCCCUCCCUCCAAUUACACGAAAUUUAAGACACUACCUUAAAACGACAUACAUUCCUCUCAAUUUUUUUAAAAUGGUAAAAUGAAAAACAAGAAUUCAUAAAAUCCCUUCUUGUUUUAGUUUGCAAUCUAGAAACCUUGCUCACUAAUUUUUUUCUGAAUAUUCAACCCAAAAGCAAUCCUGUCUUGGGCAGAUUACCUUAACCACUCUCUCAAGGAUAUACUAAAGAAAUACAUCAUGGCUUAGCUGUGAGGUUAUAGUGGGAUUUAUUAGGUGGUUUGGCAUCCGAUGGGUGAUGCCAAAAACCGUAAAAGAUUACCUUCUGAAAGAGUGGGAGAUGAAGGAGAAGAUGCAAAGCAUGGAAUGUCGCUUUUGGUGCACCCAUGUAGUCACUCGUUGUAAGAGGAUUAGGUGACAUUUGUGAGACUCAUAUAAUUUUGUAGUUUCUUUACAGUUUGGUACACCACUUAUAUAUGACCAUAUAUUCCUGGCCCUAUUACUAAUGAAAAUACUUUUACUUGAUCAAAAAAAAAAAGAUUGUACUAAAGAAGAAAUACUUGACUAUUUCUUAAGCAAAAGUGAGGUAGAUUGGAGUCAACAACAACAGUUGGGACUUAAACUUCAACCAGAACCUUCAAGUAGAUGUGGAGUCAACAACAAGAGUUGGGACUUAAACUUCAGCCAGAACCUUCAAUGAUUAGAAAGUGGAGGAAGCACAGGACUUCUAAAUAAUAUUUAUGCUAUUAAGAUCCUGCAAGAGGGUGACAUUCCUCGAAUUGUGAGGGAGUUCCUUCAGGUACUUUUACAGUUGGAUCACUGCCAUGCUAUAUAGACUGUGAAACUCAAGGACUUUCCCUCAUGCAGCUGUACGGGCAAAAAAAGCACCUAGAAAAUCGGCAUUUUAACAACAGCUUCUGGGCAGUGGAGGAACCAGGAAUUUCAAAAAGGAGAUACAUAAAGUUUGAACAUAGGAACUAGCGCAAUUCUUAACUAUCUUUGCACAAGGAGAUCCAAAAGUUAAUAAGGAUAUGUUUGCCUUAUUUGCACGGUAUUACUUUCCAACAAAGGGGUGGUUGUGGCUCCACCACUACUUCCUGGAGUUCAAUCUCAUUGGAAAGAAAACUCAAGAGAAGUAAAAUAUUUGUUUAAUUGGUGCUUUAUGUUUGAGGGGCUGAAAAGAGGUUUAUCACCUAGCACGGGUAUGGCCUAGUGGUUCAAUGAAGUGGGGUUGAGUACCAUGAUGUCUUAGGUUCAAUUCCCAACAUAGACAAACACUAGGUGAUUUAUUCCCAUCUGUUUUAGCCAUGGUGGAUAGAGUUACCUGGUAUUUGUUGCUGGUGGGAGGUGACAGGUAUCUCGUAGAAUUAAUCGAGGUGUGCACAAGCUGACCCAGAAACCAUGGUUAUCAAAAGAAAAACUGUAAUUUUGCUUCGAAUUUGUGAGGGAGUUUAGAGUCUAAGUUACUCAGACUCUUCACUUUCGGUGCUGCACCCGUGCUGACACGACAUGGAUGUGGGUGUGGGAUCCGUGCCCAAUCUGGUCAGUCGAUUUUAGUUACUCUGACCAAAAUCAACUGGGAAAGUCUGGAUAGAUUUAAGAAAUUUUGUAAUCAAAACAAAAGCUAAGGUGAAAUUGAAGAAAAUGGAAUACUUUGUAUAUAGAAAUUGCUAUGUUAAUGUGUUAACUUUUAUCUCCUUUCAGGAUUUUCUUCUUGAACAAUAUUUUCUCCUCAAAUUUUCCACAUAAUAUCACAUAAUUUAUGUUUUACAACUCUAUUUUUAGAUAUUUAAAUUAUUUUUCGAUAAAUCCCCACACCCAUAUCGAUCCCUAGAUCCAUAUCCUCGAAUCUUUAAAUUGAGACCGUGAAGUAUCCGUACCCAUAUCGGAACCCGCACCCGAGUUCGAGCAACUUAAUUUAGAAUGAAGGAAAUCAACUUUGUGAUGCCAAACACAGUGUAACAUUUUAAAUCCUGGAGAACGUAAAGAGGCAAGGUGAUAAGUUGCUUGGACUCGGAUGAGGGUGUCAGAUAUGGGUGUAGAUCUAGAGGUCGUAUCCUUCAUGAUCCAAAUUUUAAGAAUCAGGUAUAUGGAUCCAAGUACGAGUGAAAUAAUUCAAAUAUCUAAAAUCAAAGUUAUAUGUGUAAAUUAUGAGACAUUUAUGUGAAAAACUAACGAAGUAUUCUGAAGAGAAAAUAUUAAUCAAGAGGAGAAUCCCAAAGGGAAAUAAAAGGAAAAGGUCUGACAUCGAAAUUUUUACAUACAAGAUAUUUCAUUUUCCAAAAUUUCACUAUAGCUUUUGUUUUGAUUUCAGAAAUCAUUAUAUCAGUCCCAAAUUUCUUCACCGAUUUUGGUCGAAGUAGCCAAAAUAGGCUGACCAGAUUCGGUACGGAUCUCCUACCCAUAGGCCACACCCACAUGCACGUCAUGUCGACACGGGUGCGGCAUCAAAGAUAUUUCAUUUUUCAAAAUUUCACUAUGGCUUUUGUUUUGAUUACAGAAAUCAUUGUAUUAGUCCCAAAUUUCUUUGUCGAUUUUGAUCAAAGUAGCCAAAAUAGGCUAACCAGAUUCACCCACAUGCACGUCAUGUCGACGAGAGUGCGGCAUUGAAGAUAUUUCAUUUUUCAAAAUUUUUCAUAUAGCUUUUGUUUUUAUUCCAGAAAUCAUUGUAUCAAUCCCAAAUUUCUUCACCGAUUUUGGUCAAAGUAGCCAAAAUAGGCUGACCAGAUUCGGUACGAAUCCCCCUACCCAUAGGCCACACCCACAUGCACGUCAUGUAGACACGGGUGCGGCAUUGAAGACAUUUCAUUUUUCAAAAUUUCACUAUAGCUUUUGUUUUUAUUACAGAAAUCAUUGUAUCAAGCCCAAAUUUCUUCGCCGAUUUUGGUCAAAGUAGCCAAAAUAGGCUGACCAGAUUCGGUACGGAUCCCCUACCCAUAGGCCACACCCACAUGCACGUCAUGUCGACACAGGUGCGGCAUCGAAAGUGAAGAGUCCAAGCAACUUGCUAGGGAGUUGCUAGGGAGUACUGAAAUUACAAUAAGAGGGCUUUUGAAGGACAGGAAAAUUCAUUGACGCAAAUCAAAGAACAUUUUGUUAUUCCCAGUAUACUCUUAAAGAAUACGUCAUAUUCUCUAUUGUCUAGAUGAUUGUAUGGGAUUUCUAGAUUCAAAUCCUUAGUACAGCCUUAGUUUGAAUAGAACUUGUAUACGGGGUGCUCUCUUUUGUUAAGACAAAUCAACUAAUUGCAAAAUUAAAUUGAGCAAAGAGAGUUGUAACUUUCUCCUAAUUUUUUCUUGGUGAUAAAGUGCAAAUAGCUGAUGUUUUUACUUUAUACUCCCUCCAUCCCAAUUUAUGCAGCAUAUUUCGUUUCCUGAUUAUCAAACAAAGUAAGAUAGACCAUGAAUUGGCCAUGAAAUCUUCAGUUUUUUUAAAAUAAAAUUUAUAUAUUUGAAAACUAUGUAAAAAGUACUAUAAGCCAGAAUAAUUGACUAUUCAAAAUAUUUGAAAUAUAUAUGAAAAGUUACAUCAAACACAGACAUGUUUGAAUCUCUGGAAGGGAAAUAUGCCACAUAAAUUAGGACGGGGGUACUAGCAAUUUUCUAAGCCACACAUGAAUAAGUUGGAGGAUAUAAACCAUAAAUGCUUUUAAAAAGCAACAAUAAAGGAAGAAUACUUCAAUACCAUAUAUGUCCUUUUUUUAAUAAAUGUAAGAUCUGGUAUUAAUAAGGUGUAAACAAUAAGAUAAUUAGAAUUUACACAACCAUGUGUUUUUCCACAUUAGAAACUAAUGAUCAUUACAAAUUGGAACAGGAUGUAUACUCCAAAAAAUAUACAAAGUUCAACAAUCUUCCACUUUUAUCUAAAUUAGAGUUUACUUCUUCAAGGUCUCAUCUAUUUUUCUCAUUUAAUAUUGUCCACAUGAGUGCUUAAGGAGUUGCAUCACAUUCUUUUUAUAUCCCUUUUUGUACUUCCAUCUGCGAAGCAGCGCUCUAACAAUUGUUGGCUUAAUCCAACAAGUUCCAAACAUAUAUAGGCCAUGGAGCAAUGAUCCGUAAAGAUACACAUCUUCCCCCGCAAUCUUGCACAUGAAAAAGUUAAAUAUCCUAAAAAACAACUUUGGAUGAAGAACCUCUCUCCUGAGUUACCAAACCAAAAUAAGUUUACAAUGACUUGGUAAGAUUUCGAGCCUAUAUGGAUCGGCUUAUUUUAAGUGCUUUUAAGUCAAACUAGCUUUUAAGCACUUUUAUAGCUUUUGGGAAAUAAAAAAGUGUUUUUAAGACAAAAAGACAAAAAUAAGCCAAAAUGCAUAAGUUAGAAUUCCUAACUUAUGCCUUUUAAGCCAAAAGCUAUAAGCCCAGCCAAAUAGGCUCUUAAGCACUCCUUGUUGAUAAUAGAUAUGUUAACUUCAAAAAAAAAAAAAAAACUAAGCACUCCUUUGUGUUUAAGCGGCAGAUGUCAGGUUUAGGACAGGCCCACCUAUAAAGGGUACUAGCUCAUUAUCAAUUCAAAUCCAAGAUGGAUAAUCCACAAUCUAAAUCCUAGUUAGAUUCAGAGAUACAUAUAAAUACACCACAAAGGGUGCAAAAAAAAAAUAGGUAUUCACGCAAAACAGAAAGCUGUAGAGUUCCACCAUCAUGCAAAAGCACAAGGGAUUUAAGCCUUUCUUGUGACGAUUCCUCCAGUAAUUCAAGUCGCAGUAUAAGACAUGUACUUUCAUCAAGAGAAACUUAAUAAGUCUCCUAAACUAUGGAGAACAUGUCAAAUUUUGAGAAGAAAAAUGGCUAGGCAACAACACCGUAAAGGAUGAGUAUCCUGAAUUAUUCAAUAUGGCAUUGGACAAGGUCUUCUCAAUUGCUCAGAGUAGAAGCAAUAACAUCUGGGACAUACAUUUCGGAAGACACCAACAAGACUGGGAGUUAGAGGACUUGCUGGAAAUUGGAAUCACUAGACAAAGUGGAAACAUCUGACAUAGAUAGAAGUAUUUCGGACAAAAUGAGAUGGGCCAGUAAAUGCAAUUUCUUUGUUAAAGAUUGCUAUAGACAACUUGGCAACCAAGAUUAGGUUAUUGACUCAUGGUCCUGGAAAUUGAUUUGGUGGACCAAACUACCUAUUAAGAUCAUAUGUUGGUAGUGGUACGAACUGCAUACACUUACCCUCCCCAUACCCCACUUUGUGGGAAUAUACAAGGUAUGUUGUUGUUUCAAUUGGAUGGCCCUCAACAAUGCCAGCCUUACUCUAUAUAAAUUAAAAAGGAGAGGAUUUCAACUGGUCAAUAGAUGCUGUUUCUGCAAUUGUCAGCAGNNNNNNNNNNNNNNNNNNNNNNNNNNNNNNNNACAGUCAGCCAACUCUUCCUACAUUGUUCAUUAACUUUUGACCUUUGAAACAUAUUUUUCAGUAUUUUUGGAUUAAUAUGGGUGAUGCCUCAGAAUCUCAGAGAGGCUCAAAUGAGAUGGAAUCUUUGGAAAGUUGAUAAGGCCAUCAAGAAGACCUGGUUGAUGACCCCUGCUGCUAUUUUUUUGGAGCCUUUGGAAUGGGAGAAAUAGAAAGUGUUUUGAUGGCAUCUCAACUCCAAGCCACAUUCUCUUAAAGCUAAAUGUUUAGUUAAUCUUUUUUGUUGGACAAUGCUGUCAGCAGUAACUAGUUCAUUAUAGUAUUUGGAUUUUAUUAGCACUUUUGAUAGCAUCCAACGGUGGCAUACCCCCGAUGGAGUUCAAUGGGAAGUCAAGAAGAUGUUUAUCAUGGAAGAAGAGCCCAAGAACGAGUCCAGGAAUUAUGGAGAAGAAUGGAUUAAGUGCUACUCAUAUUUUAUGGUUCAAGUUCAAGCCCGAAUAGAAGAAUAUUGGAGCCCACAUGAAACUGAAGCUUCUGCCCAAAAGUGAGCAUGAAAUCCACACCCAAAAGGAGGAAAAAAGUCGCGAAUAAGUGACUUUGGAAUGGUCAAAUAUUUUGGUUAAAAUUUGGAAACUUUUCCUUAAUUCUAUAGGAGAGAAUUUUUGGUAUUAUUAUUGGCCUCCUAUAAUUUUGCACCUCUUUAAUGGCCUUUCUAUGAAGCACGUUACUUCUUUUUUUUAAUGAAGUAAGAUGUUGCAUUGAUAUUUGGCAACUGGAAGGUGCCAAAUUACAAAAGCAAAAGUCAGUAGGCUUUUGAAGCAAAAAGAAAAAACAUGUUAGCCUCUGUUACAAAAGAGCUAUACUAGUACCAUCAACCAUGGAGCUAACAAAGUUCAAAAAACUGUUCAUGCUAUUAACAGGAGUAAGAAAAUUCCACUAAACAAAACAACUUAAGCAUCUAGCUUUCAGGGCUUGAGUUGGAGUUGAUAUCCCAUCGUAGCACCUGGGGGUUCCUUUCAUUCCACACAACCCAAAAGAUGACUGCCGGAAUCAUUUCCCAGACCUUCUUGAUGGUUUUGUCAACUCUCCAAAAAAUCGAGCUACUGUAAGCUUCCUUGAUGGUCCGAGGGAGGUUUCAGGAUGGUCCAAAAAUAGCUAGAAAGAAAUUCCAAAUUUCAGAGGUGAGAGGGCAAUGAUAAAGUAAGUGAUUGACACUCUCUAGGCUUUGAUGGGCUUUGAUGGCAAAAAUAACAUCUGCUAGCUAGAACAAUUUUGCUUUUACAAAGGUUGUCCCGAGUUAAAAUUGCUUACCUGAGAGCUGUCCAAGUAAAGAAAGAGACAUUGAGUGGCAUUUUGGUUCUCCAGAUACGUUUCCAGGGACCUUCCUCAAGCACACCAUUUUGAAAACACAAUAUUGUAACCUUCUUUGACUAUGAACUUCCCCUCCCUUGAGCUUCCCCAUAAGAGCUUAUCUGGUACAUCAUAUGUGAGUGAGUCUCCAACGUGGUUAGGAGAGUUAUCAGAUCAAUGAUCUCCCAGUCAUUUAGGUUCAUUCUUAAUAAAGGUCUCCAUAUGUUGUCCUCUCUAUUUUGAGCCACAGAUGUAUCCAGGUUGCUGGCAUUAAGGAAUAUGCUGGGUAAGAGUUCCUUGAGUGUUCCAUUUCCAAUCCACCUAUCUUUCCAGAAUUUCACAUUCAAGCUAUUGCCAACUUUAAAGGAUAUGCUCUGAAAUAGGGCUUCAUGGAAGCUGUUGACAUGUUUCCAGAGUCCAGCACCAUGAGGAUCUGGGCUAACCUUUGGACUCCAGUGAUUCUCAGCUCUAUAUUAACCUGCAUCUGGUUGUUCAUAUCUCCACAACCAUUUCAUUAGCAAGCUUUGGUUAUGUUGUUUAAGCUUCCUGAUGCCAAGUCCUCUAGCAGUUUUUGGUUGGGUGAUAAUGGGCCAUUUCACCAGAGAGAAUUUGAGACUCUCGUUGCCGCUUUCCGAUAAAAAUCUCCUCCUUAAACAGUUCAGCUGUUUUAAGACAGAGGCUGGCAUAGAAUAUAAUAACAUAAUAUAGGUUGGAUGUAUCAAGCACACUACCAUUCAAAGUUAGCCUGCCCCUAUGGAUAGGUACUGCAUUUGCCAUGUUGCAAGCCUUCUUUCCACUCUUUCUAUCAAUCUUUCCAAAUUCUAGUGGAUUUGAAUUUUGCACCCAAAGGCAGCCCAAGAUAUAUAUAGUGGGUAAGGCACCAAUUUUGGAGCUUAGAGAUUCUGCUAAUACCUGGCACCAAUUUUGGAGUUUAGAGCUUCUGCUAAUACCUCCAAAUUAUGAACACCUCAUUGACGGGAUAGAUAGUGCCUUCUGAGCAUGUUAAUGAGUAGGCCUGUUAGAGCUUCAUAAAUAAGCAGAAUGAGGUAGAGAUUUAUGACUUAAGAUCUCUCGUCAUCACAGAACAUCAGUGUGUCAUCUGCAUAUAGCAGGUGUGAGACACUGACUGAGUCAAUUAGAUUACAGUAAGCUCCUUUGCUUUACUUAGCAUCUGAGUAAGACCUUCCAUUGCCAAAAUGAAAAGGAAAGGGAAGAGAGGAUCUGUAAUACCCCACAUUUCGGACUAGGAUGAAAAUCCGUCAUUCCUAUGCGUAGACGUUUCAAAAGCCUCGAAUCCUAUGUAAAUUUAGCGUGUUAAUCAAUUAUGUAGUGUGGGAAUCUAUUUGAGCAUGAAUUUAGAUCAUAUAGGUCCCCUAACUCAAGUACAAGUUGAAAGCUUUCCUAUCGCUCAAGUUUUAGUGAGCGUCAAAACUCGGGUCAACUUCAAUCAACCAUUACUCGUUGUAUAUGACGAACUGAGUGGUUUACUGUAUAUCAAAUGAAAGCUCUUUGAAUUAGCUUUCCAACGAUACCAAUUUCGCCUAAAUCCGAUAUCGGAGCAAAGAGUUAUACCCAUUUUACUCCAGCAUGUUUGGCUGGAAACUGGUGACGACAUUUUGUGACAAGCCGUCACGCCCGUGACGGCCUAUCAGCAAUGUCGUCAGACCUGGGCAGAUUUCUGACCCUGGUGACGACAUUUUGUGACAAGCCGUCACGCCCAUGUCGGCCUAUCACCAAUGUCGUCAACCUUAACACGAAACUCAAAAUUUCACCCUUUUUUGACGACCUUUUUGAUGACGUCGUCACAUUCUGACGACGUCGUCAGCCUUAGGCAGAAUCCAGCUUCUGUGUGACGACAUUUUUGACGGCCUGUCACAUUUUUGAUGCCUUGUCACGAAUGUCNNNNNNNNNNNNNNNNNNNNNNNNNNNNNNNNNNNNNNNNNNNNNNNNNNNNNNNNNNNNNNNNNNNNNNNNNNNNNNNNNNNNNNNNNNNNNNNNNNNNNNNNNNNNNNNNNNNNNNNNNNNNNNNNNNNNNNNNNNNNNNNNNNNNNNNNNNNNNNNNNNNNNNNNNNNNNNNNNNNNNNNNNNNNNNNNNNNNNNNNNNNNNNNNNNNNNNNNNNNNNNNNNNNNNNNNNNNNNNNNNNNNNNNNNNNNNNNNNNNNNNNNNNNNNNNNNNNNNNNNNNNNNNNNNNNNNNNNNNNNNNNNNNNNNNNNNNNNNNNNNNNNNNNNNNNNNNNNNNNNNNNNNNNNNNNNNNNNNNNNNNNNNNNNNNNNNNNNNNNNNNNNNNNNNNNNNNNNNNNNNNCUCUCAAGAUCAAAACUCUCAAGAACAAGCCCUAGGGUUUUCAUAGAAGAGUCUAUUUCAAGGAAAUUUCGCCGUCAAUCUUCACGAAUUCUUAAUCUAAGGUAUGCGUAGUGUUCAUCCAUGGGUCCCUUUCAUCCAUGGAGCUCAAGAAUCAUGUUUUAAAUUAUAAAUUGUGAUUUCCUUGUUGUUUUAUGACUAUAUUCAUGUUAAUGAUUGUUUUUUGGAUUCAAGGUUGUGUCUUGAUGUGUUUUUCAUGAAUCAUGUGAAUAGGUUAGUUGGAAACCAUGAAUUUGGGUGGUUCAAGAUUUCUAAAUUGGGUGGAAACCCAUGAAUUUGGGUGGAAACCCAUAAAUCAUGCUCCAGAUGUUUCUUUUGUGGUGAAAAUGCUGAGACAAUUAACCAUCUCUUUCUACACAGAAAUCUUAUUCGAAAAAUUGGAGAUUAUUCUUAAAUCUCAAAGGUAUAUCAUGAUCUAUGCCUGGAAGGAUUAGAGAGGCAAUCCAUAGCUGGGACGAAGCAGGUUUGAAGGCUAAGAACAGAAGUAGAUGGAGAAUGAUCCCUGCAUGCAUCUCAGCAUCUGGUGGACAAUUUGGAGGAGAGGGACUCUAGAUGUUUUGAGACAAUAGAUAAUACUGUGCAGCAGAUUAAAAUGAAUUGUCUAGUGACUCUUGUGCUUUUGGUGUAACCAGAUAUAUUCCAAUGACACUGUUUCUAUUAUUAAUGUUUUAGAUUCAAUAUAGUCAUAGGACAGUAGAUUCGAGUUCUCAUUAAAUAUGGUUACAGUACAACCUAUGUACUGAUUCGUUCAUAAUGAAAUAUACAGUUACCAGAUCAAAAAAAAUUGAUUGGUUGCAUAAGACUAAAGUUUUCAAAAAACUUUUAUGGUCUAAUUUUCAUGAUUUGGCCAUCCAAAUCAACUUAAAACAACUAUAUUCCAAUGCAUGAGGUAUUAAGUUUAGACGUAACCUCUGACCAAGAAUAAUAAGAACUUCAGAAAAGGAAACUCCAAUACCUUCGUGAUUACAAGCAAGGUAUCCUCAACAUAAAAAAUGGGAAUCAAUGUAAAAGCCAAAUAAAGAUACAGAUACUCACAAGAAUAUCAAAAUCCAGCUCUUUAGGUGAUUUUUCGUCUGUAAUAGGAACCCGCUCGUAUUCAACAAGAUACUCCUUCGAUUGCAGUUCCUCGUACACCUAACUUAGAGGGAGAUGUUCAAAAUGAAAAUGAGCAAUCAAUACAAUCUUUUCUGAUGCCAACUUCAAGAAAGCUUUCGUAAACUCAUGAAACCUGUAAGGGCGUUUUCACAGAAUCAUAUGUUACUGGCUCCCAUUGAUCCACCAUCUGACCAUUAGGAAGCUCAUCAGUUACAAGGAUCUUAUUUCCGUAUCUGUUGUUUAUCAAAUAGAAGAGUUCAGAUAAAAAUGUUGAUAACGUGAGCACCGAGACAUUUAAUAGAUAUUCAUUCACGGACAAUAAAAUAGAGAAAACAGUAACCUUGCAGCUUCUAGUAGAACAUCUUCUUUCAAGCGAUCCUCCAUUUGCUCCACUCUUUUCCUGUUGAUUCCCUAUUUAAUAUAAAAUCCAAGUUCAUAUCAAGAAGAAUAUCAACAUAUAGAUUAGGAAAAUAAAUGAAGUUAAAAACUUGCAUUAGAAACUGACAAAUACCAGAUAUAGAAAAGUUGUGAGCAUACACAAGAUAAAUGUGGAAACCAAUAUGCAUUGCCAGAAGAACGGUUUUACCCAUAACAAGCAGCACUAGGAUCAUGCAUUCUUGCUGAAAUCUUCUAGCCACUUGGGGACAAGGAGAUCUUGCAUCCUUGCUGAAAUUCUGAAGUUCAACAAUGAAGCUGAAACAAGGAAUCUAUGUACUGAAGAUUUGGUUCAGAGAGUAAGUCUUCAAAUGGGACUAGAAUAAAAUAUCCAUAAAGGAAGAGAUCUUUUGGCGGCGAAAUCAACAAGGCAUUUGGCUAAAAUCGGGGGUAGAAGCUAGAGUUUGAAGUCUCCAAAUAAAAAUUUGAUGUGCACUAAUUCUCUUUGGAGAAACGUUAAAUGCAUCAAAUAUUGCUUGCUUAAGCCCCUGCAUUACUAAAGCCAAUCCUCCACCUCUUGGUUUUAGUGUGAUAAAACAUCAAAGAAUAGAGAACAUUGGUGCUUUUUCCGGGAACAUUCUUCCGGGUGUGUGAGGAAGUAGGAAGGUUAAUCUUUGGCAAGAUUCUUCGCUCGGUCAACCAGGUAUUAAGAGCCACACUAUCUUAAUAAGGUAAAAUUGCUUGUCCACAAAUCCUGUAUAGCUUUGUAAUAUGUUUAUGUUCAUAUUAUGAUGUGCCUCAAGUUAUUAAAACUUAGAAGGCCAAAAUAAACAAUUAAAAGACUUAGUAACUGUCAUAAUGUCAUGAGACAUUUACAGGGUGGUUUAUUCGGUAAAAAAAGGGCAGGGCAGUUAGAAGAAGGUAUUCAGAAAAAGGAAAAAGAAAUUCUGGGAGAGUUCUAGCCAAUCGAAUAUCUAGGAAUACUGAAAUCUGUGUGAAUUUAGUGUUAUGUACUGUAUAACUGAAUGUAUUAGGAGAAAAUUUAUAGCCUUAGCAGUGUUUCAAGUGUAAGCAGUGUCUGAGUGGUUGUUUACAGAUUUCUUAUUGUAAUAUCAGUGUAUUUAGUAUAAAACACCAGUACUUGUUCCUUUAUUUACAGGUUUCUACAGAGAAGUCUAUCAUAUUACUUGUCAUAAAUCUCUGAAAGAAAGAAUACCCAGCAAGUGUUAGACAAAAGUCCUACAACCAAUGUGGCAUUGAGAAUAAAAAGUAAAAGAAAAUGUCCAAUAAAUGUGUCUUAUGAUAUCUCAUUGAUACCUUGAUCAGAAGUGUUGAAGUUAUUAGUGUGGAUAAGUGUGCCGAGGAAGGUGUGUUUCUUCGCUUGGCUAGCUACUAGAGAGGUGAUUUUGAUAGCGGAAAAUUUUAAAAAGCGGAAGGUUGUCUGCUCAGUUGGUAUUUCAUGUGCAAGAAGGUGGGCAGGGAUGUGGAUCACCUCCUUCUACAUUGCGGGCUUACCAUGAGAUUAUGGCGGGAUACGUUCAAGUGGUUUCGGACGCCUUGGGCAAUGUCAAGUACAAUGAAAUAUUUGAUGUUCAGCUGGAAAAGAGUGAGAAGGAUGAGAAAAAAAGGGACUUGGAACAUGGUUUUGCUUGCGUUAAUGUGGUUAGUAUGGAGAGAGAAAUAGAAGAGUUUUUGAAGGAGUAGAAUUGAGUUUCACUCAGUUGAGGAGUAGUCUCGACUUCCUUAUUUUGCUUGGCAUAAAGAGAAAGCUCCUUGUUGUAUAGAUGAUUUAUAUGGAGUUAUUAGAGAAUCAUAUUUUGUAGAUUCUUUACCUUUUGGUAUAUCCAUUAUAUAAGGCCAGUUUGACCAUGUAUAUGAAUGAAAAUACUUUUACUUUAUCAAAAAUAUCCUAAUCCCACAGAAUCAACAUGAUCAUUAUAUGAUUGAAAAUACUUUCACUUUAUCAAAAAUAUCCUAAUCCCACAGAAUCAACAUGAUCAUUUGAUAAAAUAAAACCAGCAAUAAGUCAAAAUGAAAAUUCAAUCCUAACCAUGACGCACCGUAUACUCGAGAUUAGAGAAGGGCCUUUCUACUUCACGCAAGACAAACGGGCGUCCAUUAAUAUAUAUCACCUGUUCCGUGAUUAGAAAAGAAAAAAUCAUGAUAAAGUUUUCAGGCAUUGAAAUCUUGCAGCAUUUUUUAUCAAAAAGUUUAUGUCCAGGAAGAAACACAGGCAUCACUAUACAUGGUUUAUCUAGUUCCGCCAUCAGCGAGAUCAAGCAUACCAACAUGCAUAUACCUAUGCUCAACCCAAUCAGUUUCAAAUUUUUCUUUUUCUAAUGAUCGUUCAUUCAAAUGCUAGCAGAUAUUUGCACCUUGAGAUACUCUUUUUUUUUUUUUGAAAUUGGUAACUUUGUAUUCCUCAGCAUUAAGGAUAUGCUGGCCACCUCCAAAAACAACAUUUUACAUUGCAUAAAAACAAGACAGAAAUACUUACAAAACUCCUAUGAAGUCCGCCAGUUGGAUUUCAUCUUCUAUAUUCUGUUCUUUACAUGAAGAUGGAUACCAAUUGUAGCAUCUAAGGUAAUUGAUUAAAGAACUUGACGUCACAAAAUUUAAUGGCAAAUAAGUCUGCAUUAUUUUUUUCCUUUUAUGUGUUGAGAAUGGUGACAAGUAUAUGUUUGCUAGUAUCUAAGGAAGUUCACUUGAACAAAAAAUUCAUGAUCUAUCUAAAGACAGGCAAGAGCACUUAUUUUAACAACUCAACCCAAUACAUGAAAGAGAAAAAACUGUAAAAUAAAGAAGUGUGUAUACUCUUUAGAAUGAUGCCUUUGUACAAGGAAAGUCUUUCAUUAAACUUGCCCCAAAAAAAAAUGUACAGAAACAAAAAGAAGGAAAAGGUUGAGAGAGGGGGUGAUAGAAAAACAGGCAGACAGAGAUGAUGGUCUUUUCUUUAACAAAAAACAAUAUGUUGUAUGAUGAGUGGAAUCCAAAUAAUGAAUUUAAAAGUGUAACACAACAUGUAAAAAUUGUCUAUAAGAAUUUUUAUUUUUUUUCUUUUUGAUAAGGUGAGUGUAUUUCAUCAGUAACUGCAAUAUAAUUUUGUGAAGAAAUUUCUAGGACUUCUGAUAGAUUCUUUUUAUGAAUUGAACAUGUGAGAAAUAAUGGAGAAAAAUAUUAUUGAAUGGUGUGUUUACAUAAUUACAUCAAGACCCUAUUUAUAGACACUAAAGUACAAUCCUUUUCCAAGUAGGAUUUGGAAUAUACUAUUCCUAUUUCUAAUAAUAUUCUAACACUUCCCCUCAAGCUGGUGCAUACAAAUCAUAUGUACCUAGCUUGUUACAAAUGUAAUGAAUACGAGUACGGGUGAGGGACUUGGUGAAGAUAUCUGCAAGACUUGACUUCACAAAUUUUGUAACAAUAUCUCUUGAGAGUAUCUUUUCUCUGACAAAGUGACAAUUAAUCUCUAUGUGUUUAAUCCUCUCAUGAAACACUGGAUUUGAUGCGAUAUGAAGGGCUGCUUGAUUAUCACACACAAGUUUCAUCUUAUCGAUUUCUCCAAAUUUUAAUUCUCUCAGCAACUGUUUGAUCCAAACUAGCUCACAAGUUGCUACAGCCAUUGCUCGAUAUUCUGCUUCUGCAUUAGAUCAAGCAACCACACUCUGUUUCCUACUCUUCCAAGACGCCAAAUUACCUCCUACUAAAACACAAUAUCCGGAGGUAAAACGUCUAUCAGAGCUGCCCGAUCAGCAUCUGUGUAUCUAAUGAUAUGCUCGUUACCUCGAUCCUCAAAGAGUAAUCCUUUACCUGGAGUUGACUUUAUAUAUCGUAGAAUACGAACAACUGCAUCCCAAUGACUAUCACAGGGGAAGUCAUAAACUGACUUACAACACUCAUAGGAAAGGAUAUGUCAGGUCUAGCCACGGUGAGAUAAUUCAACUUUCCAACCAACCGCCUAUACCUUUCAGGAUCAUUAAGUAGAUCCCCCUAUCCUGGUAAAAGUUUGGUAUUUGGAUCCAUAGGAGUGUUAAUGGGUCUACAUCCCAUCAUUCCUGUCUCCUCAAGAAUGUCUAAGGCAUACUUGCAUUGAGAAAUAACAAUACCUGAUCUGGACUGAGCAACCUCAAUACCUAGAAAAUAUUUCAGUCUACCGAGGUCUUUGGUCUGAAAGUGCUGAAAGAGAUGUUGCUUCAAUUUGGAGAUAUCAUCUUCAUCAUUGCCGGUGAUAACGAUAUCAUCAACAUAAACCACCAGAUAAAUACACAAAUUUGGUUGAGAAUGUCGAUAAAACACUGAGUGAUCAGCUCCACUACGAAUCAUGCCAAACUGCUGAAUUUUCCAAACCAAGCUCGAGGAGACUGUUUCAGACCAUAGAGUGACCUACGCAAUCGACAUACAUGGCUACUAGACUCAAUCGACAUACAUGGCUACUAGACUCCCCCUAAGCAACAAAACUAGGUGGUUGCUCCAUAUAGACUUCUUCCUCAAGAUCACCAUGCACACCAUGCAGAAAAGCAUUCUUAAUAUCCAACUGAUAAAGAGGCCAAUGACGAACGGCAGCAAUGGAUAGGAAAAGACGGACAUAUGCUAUUUUAGCCACUGGAGAAAAAAUGUCACUAUAAUCAAGCCCAAAUAUUUGCGUGUAUUCUUUGGCAACGAGGCGAGUCUUAAGCCGAUCAACCUGACCGUCUGGACCAACUUUAACCGCAUAAACCCAACGGCAACCAACAGUAGAUUUACCUGCAGGAAGAAAAACAAGCUCCCAAGUACCACUCGCAUGUAAAGCAGACAUCUCAUCUAUCAAAGUCUGCUUCCAUCCUGAAUGAGAAAGUGCUUCACCUAUAGUCUUAGGUAUGGAAAUAGACGACAAAGACGAUACAAAAGCAUAAUGGGGUGAUGAUAAACGAUGAUAACUCAAGAAAGUAUAGUGUGGGUUAGCAUUACGAGUGGAACAUGUGAAGUGCAAUUGAGUGACUAGGAGAAGGCAAGUCCGCAGUAGGAGCAGCGUCCGACGCAUGACAUGAAUCAUCUGGAACUAAUGGUAGACGCGGACGACAAUGAUAAGUCAAAAGUGGUGGCACUGUAGCAGGAGAUGUAGAAGUAACUGUUGAUUCCUUAAAGGUUGGGUCGGGUAAGUCUGGAGAUAUGGGUAAGACCAAAGAUGGUGCAAGUAAGACUGGAGAUACGAGUAAAAUCUCAGAGAUAUCAGAUGAUCAGAAGAUAUAUAGUAAGGUCGAGAUUCAAAAAAAUUGAUAUCGGCGGACAUAAAGUAGCGACGAAGAUCUGGUGAAUAACAACGAUACCCUUUUUAAACUCAAGAGUAACCAAGGAAGACACACUUGAGAGCACAAGGGGCUAAUUUAUCUUUUCCAGGGGCUAAGUUAUGAACAAAACAUGUGCUCUCAAAGACAUGAGGGGGGAU